RNAcentral lists this ribosomal RNA (439 nucleotides) under uncultured bacterium. Its description in RNAcentral is "partial 16S ribosomal RNA". It matches the Rfam family "Bacterial small subunit ribosomal RNA", at positions 338 to 795 of the family's 1533-position model. The record is from RNAcentral.
CCUACGGGUGGCAGCAGUGGGGAAUAUUGCACAAUGGGGGAAACCCUGAUGCAGCGACGCCGCGUGAAGGAAGAAGUAUUUCGGUAUGUAAACUUCUAUCAGCAGGGAAGAAAAUGACGGUACCUGACUAAGAAGCCCCGGCUAACUACGUGCCAGCAGCCGCGGUAAUACGUAGGGGGCAAGCGUUAUCCGGAUUUACUGGGUGUAAAGGGAGCGUAGGCGGUUUAGCAAGUCAGAAGUGAAAGCCCGGGGCUCAACUCCGGGACUGCUUUUGAAACUGUUGAACUAGAGUGCAGGAGAGGUAAGUGGAAUUCCUAGUGUAGCGGUGAAAUGCGUAGAUAUUAGGAGGAACACCAGUGGCGAAGGCGGCUUACUGGACUGUAAAUGACGCUGAGGCUCGAAAGCGUGGGGAGCAAACAGGAUUAGAUACCCCUUAGUC